Molecule: ribosomal RNA, 495 nt
Filed under: uncultured bacterium
Lineage: Bacteria
Description: partial 16S ribosomal RNA
Rfam family: Bacterial small subunit ribosomal RNA
Source: RNAcentral
GACGAACGCUGGCGGCGUGCCUAAUACAUGCAAGUAGAACGCUGAAGGAGGAGCUUGCUCUUCUGGAUGAGUUGCGAACGGGUGAGUAACGCGUAGGUAACCUGCCUGGUAGCGGGGGAUAACUAUUGGAAACGAUAGCUAAUACCGCAUAACAGUAGAUGUUGCAUGACAUUUGCUUAAAAGGUGCAAUUGCAUCACUACCAGAUGGACCUGCGUUGUAUUAGCUAGUUGGUGGGGUAACGGCUCACCAAGGCGACGAUACAUAGCCGACCUGAGAGGGUGAUCGGCCACACUGGGACUGAGACACGGCCCAGACUCCUACGGGAGGCAGCAGUAGGGAAUCUUCGGCAAUGGACGGAAGUCUGACCGAGCAACGCCGCGGGAGUGAAGAAGGUUUUCGGAUCGUAAAGCUCUGUUGUAAGAGAAGAACGAGUGUGAGAGUGGAAAGUUCACACUGUGACGGUAUCUUACCAGAAAGGGACGGCUAACUACGUG